AACGCUGGCGGCGUGCCUAACACAUGCAAGUCGAACGCGAAAGGGGCUUCGGCCCUGAGUAGAGUGGCGAACGGGUGAGUAACGCGUGGGUGAUCUACCUUCGAGUGGGGGAUAACGUCCCGAAAGGGGCGCUAAUACCGCAUGACGUUCUGGGUUUAAAGACCUGGAAACCAAAGCCGGGGACCGCAAGGCCUGGCGCUUAAAGAGGAGCCCGCGUCCGAUUAGCUAGUUGGCGGGGUAACGGCCCACCAAGGCGACGAUCGGUAGCCGGCCUGAGAGGGCGGACGGCCACACUGGAACUGAGACACGGUCCAGACUCCUACGGGAGGCAGCAGUGGGGAAUUGUUCACAAUGGGCGCAAGCCUGAUGACGCAACGCCGCGUGGGGGAUGAAGGUCUUCGGAUUGUAAACCCCUGUCGAAUGGGACGAAUGGCCUCUGGGCUAAUCACCAGA
This 453-nucleotide ribosomal RNA is filed under the name Acidobacteria bacterium REF-37. RNAcentral describes it as "bacterial SSU rRNA". It matches the Rfam family "Bacterial small subunit ribosomal RNA", at positions 32 to 477 of the family's 1533-position model. Lineage: Bacteria; Pseudomonadati; Acidobacteriota. The record is from RNAcentral.